This 466-nucleotide ribosomal RNA is filed under the name Vreelandella stevensii. RNAcentral describes it as "partial 16S ribosomal RNA". It matches the Rfam family "Bacterial small subunit ribosomal RNA", at positions 338 to 795 of the family's 1533-position model. Lineage: Bacteria; Pseudomonadati; Pseudomonadota; Gammaproteobacteria; Oceanospirillales; Halomonadaceae. The record is from RNAcentral.
UCUACGGGUGGCAGCAGUGGGGAAUAUUGGACAAUGGGCGAAAGCCUGAUCCAGCCAUGCCGCGUGUGUGAAGAAGGCCUUCGGGUUGUAAAGCACUUUCAGUGGGGAAGAAAGCCUUGGGGCUAAUACCCUCGAGGAAGGACAUCACCCACAGAAGAAGCACCGGCUAACUCCGUGCCAGCAGCCGCGGUAAUACGGAGGGUGCGAGCGUUAAUCGGAAUUACUGGGCGUAAAGCGCGCGUAGGCGGUCUGAUAAGCCGGUUGUGAAAGCCCCGGGCUCAACCUGGGAACGGCAUCCGGAACUGUCAGGCUAGAGUGCAGGAGAGGAAGGUAGAAUUCCCGGUGUAGCGGUGAAAUGCGUAGAGAACGGGAGGAAUACCAGUGGCGAAGGCGGCCUUCUGGACUGACACUGACGCUGAGGUGCGAAAGCGUGGGUAGCAAACAGGAUUAGAUACCCCCGGUAGUC